Molecule: ribosomal RNA, 207 nt
Filed under: uncultured bacterium
Lineage: Bacteria
Description: partial 16S ribosomal RNA
Rfam family: Bacterial small subunit ribosomal RNA
Source: RNAcentral
UGCGUAGGUGGCGCGCUAAGUCGGGUGUGAAAUCCCGGGGCUUAACCUCGGGACUGCAUUCGAUACUGGCGUGCUUGAGGACUGGAGAGGAGACUGGAAUUCAUGGUGUAGCAGUGAAAUGCGUAGAGAUCAUGAGGAAGACCAGUGGCGAAGGCGGGUCUCUGGACAGUUCCUGACACUGAGGCACGAAGGCCAGGGGAGCAAACG